This 510-nucleotide ribosomal RNA is filed under the name uncultured bacterium. Its description in RNAcentral is "partial 16S ribosomal RNA". It matches the Rfam family "Bacterial small subunit ribosomal RNA", at positions 28 to 507 of the family's 1533-position model. The record is from RNAcentral.
GACGAACGCUGGCGGCGUGCUUAACACAUGCAAGUCGAACGAAGAGCGAUGGAAGCUUGCUUCUAUCAAUCUUAGUGGCGAACGGGUGAGUAACGCGUAAUCAACCUGCCCUUCAGAGGGGGACAACAGUUGGAAACGACUGCUAAUACCGCAUACGAUCUAACCUCGGCAUCGAGGAUAGAUGAAAGGUGGCCUCUACAUGUAAGCUAUCACUGAAGGAGGGGAUUGCGUCUGAUUAGCUAGUUGGAGGGGUAACGGCCCACCAAGGCGAUGAUCAGUAGCCGGUCUGAGAGGAUGAACGGCCACAUUGGGACUGAGACACGGCCCAGACUCCUACGGGAGGCAGCAGUGGGGAAUCUUCCGCAAUGGACGAAAGUCUGACGGAGCAACGCCGCGUGAGUGAUGACGGCCGUCGGGUUGUAAAGCUCUGUUAAUCGGGACGAAAGGCCUUCUUGCGAAUAGUUAGAAGGAUUGACGGUACCGGAAUAGAAAGCCACGGCUAACUACGUG